GCCUGGGUGGCUCAGUUGGUUAAGUGUCUGACUUCGGCUCAGGUCACGAUCUCACAGUGGGUUCGAGCCCCGCACUGGGCU
Molecule: transfer RNA, 81 nt
Filed under: Felis catus (domestic cat)
Lineage: Eukaryota; Metazoa; Chordata; Mammalia; Carnivora; Felidae
Also listed under: 1 other name
Rfam family: tRNA
About the family: Transfer RNA (tRNA) molecules are approximately 80 nucleotides in length. Their secondary structure includes four short double-helical elements and three loops (D, anti-codon, and T loops).
Source: Rfam by way of RNAcentral